Long non-coding RNA from Hypanus sabinus (Atlantic stingray), 321 nucleotides. RefSeq lists it as uncharacterized. The transcript has 3 exons. The record is from RefSeq and is a predicted model, not a curated record. Lineage: Eukaryota; Metazoa; Chordata; Chondrichthyes; Myliobatiformes; Dasyatidae.
CAGGCAUGAGAAAUCACAGUGAGAGCAACGCUGAAGGAGAGGUUGAGGGAACACACACCACUCUUCAUCAAAGGAUCAGCAGCUGAAAGUGCGUCCUCGAAACAGAUGAAAAACCCCAAAGAAUGAAUGACAGCAGAAACAACUUAAGAACUCCGUAGCCCCUGCCAUGCCCUCCCAUGCACAAGCUGCAGCAAAUCAGCAUCAACCUUCCCCUCACUUAAUCUGGCAGAAAGCAUCAGCACUCCCACCAUCCACCAUGCAAGAAACAGCAAAAAGAGACAAUGGUCUACAGAAUAUCAGAAACUAACUGUUUGUUCCAAU